AUUCUUAUCUUUACUAUCUAGGUAAUUAAUAUGUUUUAGGAAUUGUCAGUUUAACAGAGUGUUGUCUUCUUGAAUCAUAUUGUGGGUGGUGUUUCCUUGAAAGUAGGAUUGAAUUUGAAUUAAAUUUGUUUAAACUCUAGUUUAAACUCGGUUUGAACGAGUCUGAAAUGAGUUAUAUGUAAACAAGCUCAAGCUUUAUGUACUUGAAAAAUUGAGCUCGAGCUUUGAGCUGAGCAACUCCGCUUGGUUUGCGAGCCAAGGCAGCUCGCCCAUUCUCCUUUCUCCAGCUGGGGUUAUCUGUGCUUGGUGAGCUUCAAGGAUCUGGGGAUGGUUACUAUGUGGCGGUAGGAGGGAUCACUCCAACUCGUCUUGGAGUGGGAGAGUACUGCAGCCGUUGGGCUACGUCAAACAUUGGGCACUUAUCUGGAUAAAAAGGUUGCCACCUGCAUUUGUCAACCAUCACGAGGACUGACCUUUGGAAUCAAAGGGGGUGCAGCCGGUGGUGGUUUCAGUCAAGUGAUCCCAAUGGAUGAGUUCAAUCUUUAUUUAAUAGGAGACAUUCAUGCUAUGACACCUGCAAACAAUCUUCUUGCAUCUUCCAUGAGUCAGCACAAUCAGAUAAGGCCCUCUUGAACUGAUUGUGCCACCAAGCAAAGAAGGGAAACGAAGCUUUAGCAAUAUAAUUUUUAGACGACUGAAGAAGCCUAAUAUCUUCAAGACCGAGCCUGAGGAUCAUACACCGCAACAAGUUUAAAAUUUUCUAGGCUUGAUAUUGACCUAGAUUGCAUCGCACGGAGGAGAGUUAUUGGUGUGAAUGGCAGGUUAUUAAGAAAGACUGGUGUUAGCCAGGGGCCAGAAGAAAAGGGGAUGACAAAGGAAACAGAAUUUGAUAUUUCAGUUGCUAGUGAGAUAAUGGCAGUUUUGUCCCUCACAACAGCUCUAGCUGAUAUGAGAGAGAUGCGUGGAAAAUGGUGAACAGGCUCGUGAUCAGGUUCGUUUGAGCUUGUUAAGCUUGGCUCGUUAUUAGGGUCGUUGAGUCUAUUUGAGUCGAGUUCUAAUAUUAAAUUUUUUUGUUUAUCGAGCCUAAACUUAGGUUUGGGCUUGUUUUAACAGUAACCGAGUCAAAUUCAAACUCAA
Long non-coding RNA from Mangifera indica (mango), 1137 nucleotides. RefSeq lists it as uncharacterized. The record is from RefSeq and is a predicted model, not a curated record. The transcript has 2 exons. Lineage: Eukaryota; Viridiplantae; Streptophyta; Magnoliopsida; Sapindales; Anacardiaceae.